GAUGAACGCUGGCGGUCUGCUUAAUACAUGCAAGUCGAACGGCAGCAGCACCUUCGGGUGGCUGGCGAGUGGCGCACGGGUGAGUAACGCGUACAGAACCUACCUUUUACAGGGGGAAAGUCGCUGGAAACGGCGAAUAAUCCCGCAUAAGACUACAGUAUCGCAUGGUACAGGAGUUAAAGGAGCGAUCCGGUAAAAGAUGGUUGUGCGUUCCAUUAGCUAGAUGGUGAGGUAACGGCUCACCAUGGCGACGAUGGGUAGGGGGCGUGAGAGCGUGAUCCCCCACACGGGUACUGAGACACGGACCCGACUCCUACGGGAGGCAGCAGUAAGGAAUAUUGGUCAAUGGAGGGAACUCUGAACCAGCCAUGCCGCGUGUACGAAGAAGG
Molecule: ribosomal RNA, 389 nt
Filed under: uncultured Bacteroidota bacterium
Lineage: Bacteria; Pseudomonadati; Bacteroidota
Description: bacterial SSU rRNA
Rfam family: Bacterial small subunit ribosomal RNA
Source: RNAcentral